AGAAAUUUGGGAGAAUGGUGGUGGAAGGCUACAGCAGAGAGUGGCUUUGUGUUUCUGGCGUGAAUGAUGUAUAUGAGAGGUGGUGAUUUGGCUAGGGCUGAGAUAUGAGUAUAUAUAGGCACCUAAGACCCUAGGAUAAUUAGAUAUGGACUUCUAGAAUCCAAAUCCACCAAGAAAAAGGCUUAAAAAUCAGAAUCCACAAAGGAAAAGGUAUAGGAGGUGUGGCAGGUUUGAUGGGAUAAGGUUAGGGCUUCUAGAAUGCCUUGCAAGGCAAGAAAACAUGUUCUAGAAAGGGUUAUGCACGACAUGGAUUUAGGGAAUGUGGAUAGGGCUUCUAGACAGAAUAAGGUGUCCCUAAGUGUUUAGGACUCGUCUUUGGAUCUGAAAUCUUUGUACAUUAGGAUUAGGAAAGUUUGUCUUUGUCAAUCCUUCUUCAUCUUGGAUUCCUUUUCCUUCUUGGACUUGGAAAACUUCUUUGUUGCUAAAACUUGAUGCCAUUUGGAUUUAACCUUCCUACUUCAAGUAGGAAACCUUGUUUGAGUAGGAAUCUUCAUCUUCUAGGAAUCCCAAUUCCACUAGGAAACCUAUUUCAACUAUGAAUCCUCAUUCAACUAGGAUUCCAUCUUCAAUUAGGGACUUUCCUACUUCAACUAGGAAACCUUGUUCAAGUAGGAAACAUCAUCUUCAAAUCUUCAAUUUCGUCCAUCCUCUUGGCUCCAAGCAUAUGAUGUCCAUUCCAAGCUCUAAUUUGCUCCAAAAGGCUCCAAAUUGCAUCAUUUUAUGUAAUAUGCCCUUAAAACCUGAAAACACAUGAAACUAGCUUAAAAGACUACUUUAGACUAAGAAAACAUAACGAAAAUGCACAAGAACUAGCUAACUAAGGCGCAUAAAUAUGCUCUUAUCAAAUUCCCCCACACUUAGCUUUUGCUAGUCCUCGAGCAAAACAAAGAAACAAAAAAAAAAACAAAACGAAACAAAACAAACAAACAAAACCUAACCCUUCCAACGUUUGCCUCAGGGAUUUGCAAUGCACAUGACAUAUUAAAAAUCACCAUUCCCACAGAUUUUAGCCAUCUUUACACUUAAGCACAUACUUAAUCAUAGUCACUACUUACUAGUUCACAUAUAACCAUUUAAAACGAUGUUUUGAAUGUAGUAACAUGCCUUAGAGAAUUUGUUCAGUUCCUUACUAGAUAUGCACUCAAUUUUCACACAGAUUUUCUAACUACACACCCUAUACUAGUUAUAUGUGAGAAGAUUGAUGUAAAUAUGAAAACGAACGCUCACAUAUAUGUAUAACAAAGAAAGCAUUUUCUGGAGUUAAUAAGCAUUUAGAUAUGAUCUCAUGAAUGGAAUGCUACUACUUAGAUGCGAGAACCAGUGACACCAUAUGCUCAUACCAAUUUUAAACUCCACAAAUUGAAACACACAACACUCAAGAUUAAAGGCAAGGGUUGUAACGGGGCUUGGGGUCUUGGCUAACAAAGAACGGAUAGGGAUAACAAAGGUUCUUUAAACAAUAGCAAGCAAAGCAAUGAAAUCGAAACUUAGAAUUCACUUUAGAACGUAGAAAUCAACUUUUAAACACAAGGGAAGAUUCAUGCAAUACUUAGGGUCAAAUUCAACGUUUUGGACCCUUUCUUCAACUAGGAACACUUAAGAACUCAUCUCCACAUCUUGUUCAACUCUUUUUCAUAUUUUUCACAACUUUUCUUUUUUUUCUUGCUAUUUUCCACGAAAUUUCUUUUUCUUUUUCUUUUUCUAACCCGUGCCACAUGAAAGACUUUGGCAUACACACACAUCCCUUCCCCCACACUUGUUUUCUGCAAUACCAUGAUCAAAAGGAAUUCAUCUUGAGUCAUGCUUAACUAUGCUUCAAGAACAAGGGUAUGGAUGGUCCUAAUCUAGGCUAGGUGAGGAUAAUGUGGGUUAACAAACAAUAUAGGCUAAACAAGGCUCAACGGGGUUAAAACUUACAAAAAAUAUGAACAUGAAGGACACGGCAAUUUGGCUUAAAUGGUGGUCACUACACAACUUCAUCUUGAAUAUGUGUUAUGCAAAUCAAUAACAUGCUUUGAAUGAAAUGGGCAUGAGUUCUAGUGCUUGGAACUAAAUGAUGAAACGCCUUCUAAAUAGUAACCAAGCAAAGAAUAAUGAGAUCAUGCAACGACUUUAGAAAAAAACAAUGCACAGAUUAUUAACUCUCCAAAUAAACGUUUAGGCUCAAGUCUCACAAGGUUGUAGCGUUAGUUUGAGUUCCUUCCUUCAAGCAUGUUACAAAAACUAAUUUUUUUUUUCCUUUAUGAUUACAUGUGAAUUCAUAAGUUAUAACCACAACCAAGCAUAAACCAAGGAGUAAAUCAAACUUUCAUCCAUGUUUACAACUCUCUUUAACAGUCAUGCAAUUAAAAACCGAAUCCUCAUCAUUGUGUUGGAAGGUACCCUAAGACACAAACAAACACACAAAACAACUUUCAAACGACUCUUUUUGGUUUUUUCAAAACAUUUUUUCAAAUUUUUUUUCUGGGAUUUUCGGAUUUUUAUGUAAAACACACUAAAAUGAAACAGCCUAAAAACACCUAAAAACAGCAAGGAACAACAUUGGAAGUUAUGGGUGAUACAACCCUACGAAUUUGCAUCAAAACACUUUGGUUACCCCCCCCCCCCCCACACUUAAAUCAAACAUUGUCCUCAAUGUUUCAAGCAUAUACUCACACAAAAAACACAUAAACAAUCAAACAGCAAAUAAACAAACGAAACAUGGCAGAAACGAAAGAACAACAAAGAGAAGGGUUUAGGAACGCAAAUCUAGAAUCGGAGUGAUUCUUAGGUCUUCCUUUGUUGAAUGCAUGGGUUGCCUCCCAAGUAGCGCUUGCUUUAACGUCGUACAGCCGGACGAUGCUCCAUUGAAGCUUUAUGGAACCCCACGGCAGGGAGGGGUGUUUCUACCACCUGUCCUACGAACCACUUCAUGCUUUAGAUCUUUGAAUGGAAGGGGAUAAUGAUCCUUCCUGAUUUUGAUGUUUUGCUUCCCUAAAUCAGCAUGUACUCCACCACGUCGAAUUCAAUUAGCUAUUUGCACCAUACAAGGUAACAACCUAUUAGUUGAAAUGGGAAUCGAAAUUGGAAUAGGUGGCUUACCUAUGUACGGCAAAUAAGUGGCAGCACAAUGAACAGAUGCACAAGGGGUGCUUUCGGCCAGAUUUGGUGAUUUCAAGGUUGGGGCCGUGCUCCCCUUGUUGUUCACUCCAAUUCCUUCCUCGAUGGUGGUUCGAGGUACAUUCUUCUUGAUUAGUGUUGAACAUUGCUGCCCUAUAUUUUCAAUUACAUUAAUGGCACAACAAGAACGAAUAACAUUAGGAGUCUCAAUAAAUUCAGGGACUUUAAAACUAAUCAUGUCACCACCAAAUGCCAUAGUGACUUCUCCUUUGGCCACAUCAAUCUUGGUUUGAGCCAUUUUCAUGAAAGGUCGUCCAAGUAAGAGUGGUGAUGGUGGAGAGUGGCCCGAAUCCUCCAUAUCGAGCACGUAGAAAUCUGUGGGGAAAAUCAAGUGGUCUACCUGCACCAAAACAUCUUCCAAAACUUCCUUUGGAUAGGCAUUAGAUCGAUCGGCCAAUUGAAUAAUCACACCAUCAUUUUUCAACUUGCCUAAGUUCAUAGAUGCAUAAAUUGAAUAAGGCAUGACAUUUAUAGAUGCACCUAAGUCUAACAUGGCAGAAUCAAAACGAGUAUUACCAAUUACACAAGGAAUUGUAAAACUACCCAGAUCUUUGCAUUUAGGUGUCAGCUUUCUUUGUAACAUGGCAGAGACAUUCUUGCUUACAUGUACCACUUCUUUCUCCCGAAAAUGUUUCUUUGUUGUACAAAGCUUCUUCAAAAACUUGGCAUACUUCGGGAUUUGCUUUAUAGCAUCAAGAGAGGGGAUAUUGACAUGCACCUUUUCCUAAACGUCUCCAGAACAUCUUUUUCCUCCUUCUUUGGUCUUGGCUUGCAAAAACCUGCUAGGAAACGGUACAUUUGGAGGAAUAACAUUAGAAUUAAUUGGAAUUGGACCUUUCUUACCUGAUUUGGAUGGAUUGGGGUGUGGAAAGGGUGUAGGGGGUUGCGGCAAGGAUUGGUCAAUCCUUGCCGUGGCCUCGGCAUGAUCUUCCUCUUCAAUUUGCAACUUCUUAUCCUCCUUGGGGGCAGAUUUAAAUGGUUGUGGGUCAGUUCCUACUUCUUUCCCACUCCUUAGCAUGAUGGCCUUGGCAGCUUCGAAUCCUCCCCUUGGAUUGACAACGGUUGAACUUGGCAACUUGCCUUGCUCUUGGAAUUGGCCCACAAACUCCGCAAUCUGCCCUACUUGCUUCUCCAACUCGUCCACCCUCUUGUCCUUAAUUUGCAUACUCUGCGCCAUAGAAGUUAGUAAUUGAAAAUUUUGAUCAUUAUCAAUGGACGAACCUGGUUUGUUUUGGGCAGGUUGUGCUUGGGGUUGAGUUGAUGCAAACGGCUUUUAAUAGAAACCUGGAGGUUGUUGCCUAAAUGUGCUUUGUUGUUGGCCUUGUUGGGGUUCUCGCCAUUUGAAAUUUGGAUGAUCACGCCAACCGGGAUUGUAAGUAUUAGAAAAAGGGUCAUUCCUCGGUUGGUAUUGGUUGCCAAAUCCCACGGCAUUGAGGGUCUCCCACCCUCCAUUCUCUAUCAAUUGUGGGCACUUGUCCGUAAGGUGUCCUUGCAUGGAGCAUACGCCAAAAGCUGCCACGUUUUGCACUUUUGGACCUUCCACCACCUGAGAAAGCAAAGUAGUAAGGUUAGCCAUUUGAUUUUGAAGUUCGGUUAUGGCACUUACCUCAUUCACUUGGUGUUGCCGUGGGUUGCUCUUUUGUCCAACACCUUCGUAUUUUUGGGCAUUCAACGCUCGAUUGGAGAUUAAUGUCUUGGCUGCCAUGGGGGUCUUGUCCACCAAGGCUCCUCCCGCCGAGGCAUCUAGCAUUUGACGUUCGAUUGGUAGUAGCCCCUCGUAGAAGUAUUGUAGAAGAAGUUCCUCCUUCAUUUGAUGCUGUGGACAUGAAGCAACAAGAGAUUUAAAACGUUCAUAGUAAGUAGGAAAAGAUUUACCUUCAUCUUGUUGAAUUCCACUUAUCCUUUUUCGUAGGAGGAUGACUAGAGAAGUUGGGAAAAACUUCUCCAAGAAGGCCCGUUUCAUGCUGUCCCAUGAUGUGACGAUUCCAGGAGCCAAUUCAUAUAACCAAUCUUUCGCCUUUUCCAAGAGAGAAAAGGGAAAGGUCUUCAUCUUCAAAAUACUCCCAUCGACAUUGACGGGGGUCAUGCUUGAACACACCACCUCGAAUUCUUUCAAGUGUUUGUUAGGAUCUUCCAUGGACAACCCAUGGUACUUCGGAAUAUGGUGUAACAAGCUUGACUUCAAUUCAAAUUCUUCGGUUUUUCCUUGGGCAGCCGCAGGGUAUUGUAUACAUAAGGGUGCGGCAUUGUCCAAACCUGAAGCGGAAAGCUCCUUGAUUGUUCGGUUGUCCGCUGCCAUGGCUUGUUCUUCUUCACCCACUCUUGCCGUGGGUUCCUCUUCCUCAAAUUCAGAUUUGGCCUCUGAAUUUGCACUUGAUUCACUAGGCUCUGGAUUCUUCCGCUUUUGUCUCAACUCUCGGUCGAAAUCGUCGUCAAACUCCAAGAUAUGUUCACGAACCGGAUUAGAACUCCGAGUCAUAAACUAGUACCUACAACAAGAAGCAAAAACAAAGUUAGAAUCUGUAAUGAAAUAAAACAAACGAAAAUAAACAAUCCAAGGGAUUAGCAAAGUUGCUAAUCCCCCGGCAACGGCGCCAAAAUUUGAUAUGAUAUUAACUAGCACACAAAUUAAACCCUCUUUUUAUCAAUUGUAGCAAAGUAUGUAAAUAGGGAUCGUUCUAGACCGGGGAUUAGGAGGGAUUGCUAAAUCACUUGAAAACUGACUUAAAGACGUAAAAACAAGUUUAGAACACUAAACUAGACUCAAAGAAUGCAAAACUAAACUUUACAACACCAAAACAAACCAAAAGACUCAAAACAGCAAACAAACACUCAAAACUGCCUUAAAAACACUUUCUGGGCAGUUUUGAGCACAAAACACUAACUUGGGAGAAUGGUGGUGGAAGGCUGCGGCAGAGAGUGGCUUUGUGUUUCUUGCGUGAAUGAUGUAUAUGAGAGGUGGUGAUUUGGCUAAGGCUAAGAUAUGAGUAUAUAUAGGCACCUAAAACCCUAGGGUAAUCCGAUAUGGACUUCUAGAAUCCAAAUCCACCAAGAAAAAGGCUUAAAAAUCAGAAUCCACAAAGGAAAAGGUAUAUGAGGUGCGGCAGGUUUGAUGGGAUAAGGUUAGGGCUUCUAGAAUGCCUUGCAAGGCAAGAAAACAUGUUCUAGAAAGGGUUAUGCACG
Molecule: long non-coding RNA, 6402 nt
Filed under: Malus domestica (apple)
Lineage: Eukaryota; Viridiplantae; Streptophyta; Magnoliopsida; Rosales; Rosaceae
Description: long non-coding RNA (MDOM_LNC012889)
Source: RNAcentral